Molecule: ribosomal RNA, 1447 nt
Filed under: uncultured organism
Description: 16S ribosomal RNA
Rfam family: Bacterial small subunit ribosomal RNA
Source: RNAcentral
CUCAUAUUGAACGCUGGCGGCAGGCCUAACACAUGCAAGUCGAACGGUAACAGGAAGCAGCUUGCUGCUUUGCUGACGAGUGGCGGACGGGUGAGUAAUGUCUGGGAAACUGCCCGAUGGAGGGGGAUAACUACUGGAAACGGUAGCUAAUACCGCAUAACGUCGCAAGACCAAAGAGGGGGACCUUCGGGCCUCUUGCCAUCGGAUGUGCCCAGAUGGGAUUAGCUAGUAGGUGGGGUAACGGCUCACCUAGGCGACGAUCCCUAGCUGGUCUGAGAGGAUGACCAGCCACACUGGAACUGAGACACGGUCCAGCCUCCUACGGGAGGCAGCAGUGGGGAAUAUUGCACAAUGGGCGCAAGCCUGAUGCAGCCAUGCCGCGUGUAUGAAGAAGGCCUUCGGGUUGUAAAGUACUUUCAGCGGGGAGGAAGGGAGUAAAGUUAAUACCUUUGCUCAUUGACGUUACCCGCAGAAGAAGCACCGGCUAACUCCGUGCCAGCAGCCGCGGUAAUACGGAGGGUGCAAGCGUUAAUCGGAAUUACUGGGCGUAAAGCGCACGCAGGCGGUUUGUUAAGUCAGAUGUGAAAUCCCCGGGCUCAACCUGGGAACUGCAUCUGAUACUGGCAAGCUUGAGUCUCGUAGAGGGGGGUAGAAUUCCAGGUGUAGCGGUGAAAUGCGUGGAGAUCUGGAGGAAUACCGGUGGCGAAGGCGGCCCCCUGGACGAAGACUGACGCUCAGGUGCGAAAGCGUGGGGAGCAAACAGGAUUAGAUACCCUGGUAGUCCACGCCGUAAACGAUGUCGACUUGGAGGUUGUGCCCUUGAGGCGUGGCUUCCGGAGCUAACGCGUUAAGUCGACCGCCUGGGGAGUACGGCCGCAAGGUUAAAACUCAAAUGAAUUGACGGGGGCCCGCACAAGCGGUGGAGCAUGUGGUUUAAUUCGAUGCAACGCGAAGAACCUUACCUGGUCUUGACAUCCACGGAAGUUUUCAGAGAUGAGAAUGUGCCUUCGGGAACCGUGAGACAGGUGCUGCAUGGCUGUCGUCAGCUCGUGUUGUGAAAUGUUGGGUUAAGUCCCGCAAUGAGCGCAACCCUUAUCCUUUGUUGCCAGCGGUCCGGCCGGGAACUCAAAGGAGACUGCCAGUGAUAAACUGGAGGAAGGUGGAGAUGACGUCAAGUCAUCAUGGCCCUUACGACCAGGGCUACACACGUGCUACAAUGGCGCAUACAAAGAGAAGCGACCUCGCGAGAGCAAGCGGACCUCAUAAAGUGCGUCGUAGUCCGGAUUGGAGUCUGCAACUCGACUCCGUGAAGUCGGAAUCGCUAGUAAUCGUGGAUCAGAAUGCCACGGUGAAUACGUUCCCGGGCCUUGUACACACCGCCCGUCACACCAUGGGAGUGGGUUGCAAAAGAAGUAGGUAGCUUAACCUUCGGGAGGGCGCUUACCAC